Molecule: non-coding RNA, 155 nt
Filed under: Astrobacterium formosum
Lineage: Bacteria; Pseudomonadati; Pseudomonadota; Alphaproteobacteria; Hyphomicrobiales; Nitrobacteraceae
Description: 6S RNA
Rfam family: 6S / SsrS RNA
About the family: E. coli 6S RNA was the first non coding RNA to be sequenced, but its function was unknown until recently.
Source: RNAcentral
GCGGGGCUGCGGGGUGCGUUUGGAGACAAAUCCCCGGGGCCUUACGAUCCCAACGGGAGCUGUCCCUGUCCUCGCCCCUGGGCUUGGGUACACGGCGCCCACCUACUUAUGUAGGUUCCCGGGAUCAGCGCUCCGACGGCUUGCGCGGCUCCGCA